Molecule: small RNA, 651 nt
Filed under: Arabidopsis thaliana (thale cress)
Lineage: Eukaryota; Viridiplantae; Streptophyta; Magnoliopsida; Brassicales; Brassicaceae
Description: ATSL241720
Source: RNAcentral
AUUUAAUUCACAAACAAAAAUGUACGUAUAUUAUUUCACAUGUACACAUGUACACAUGUACAUACAUUAAUUUACCAACAAAAAUGUACGUACAUUAUUUCACCAUCUAUUUUUAUUUAAUUAUUAUGUAUGUAUUGAGAUUAUUGAGAUAUAAGAAUACGUAAUAAAAUAGUUUUAGUUAUUAGAAUUCGUCCCAUAUAUGUUCCAAUAAAUAAUUUCGUGUACGUACACUAUAAAUUGAAUAUACGUACACAGAAAAAAUUCGAUGAAGGGUAUAAUUGUAAUUUUUCAGUCAUCUUCAACCUGUGUAUCCUUUUCUGCAAACCUAAUUUUGCGGCCGUCUUUAUUAGUUUUCUGAAAAUCUCAUUUUUUUUACGUUUUGAUUACUAUUUAUAAAUAAAUCUUGUAAACCUAGAGUAUCUUUAGUUUAAAAAGCUAAAGUGUUUGUAUCUAUGAGCUUUUUUUUUGCAUUUUGUUCAUCUCUGAAAACAAGAAAUUUGUUCCUCAAUUUUGGAGUUCAAUGCAAAGAUGUCGAAAUAUGAAGGAGUGGAUAAUGAAUUUUGAACUUCUUUCUACUUCUCUCUCGAAAUACUCCAUCUCUUUCUCUUUUUCUUCUUCUUCGAUUUCUUUGUUUCAGUUUUUUUUUUUUUU